UUCUUAUCCAGAGAGGUGGAGGGACUGGCCCGAUGAAGCCCGGCAACCGUCACGCGGUAUGUGACAAGGUGCCAAUUCCUGCAAGACACGCGUGUCUUGAGAGAUGAGAA
RNAcentral lists this non-coding RNA (110 nucleotides) under Bacillus sp. (in: firmicutes). RNAcentral describes it as "Bacillus sp. SAM-I sequence". It matches the Rfam family "SAM riboswitch aptamer (S box leader)". From Rfam's summary of the family: The SAM riboswitch is found upstream of a number of genes which code for proteins involved in methionine or cysteine biosynthesis in Gram-positive bacteria. The SAM riboswitch acts at the level of transcription termination control. The record is from RNAcentral. RNAcentral also lists the same sequence under 1 other name. Lineage: Bacteria; Bacillati; Bacillota; Bacilli; Caryophanales; Bacillaceae.